Molecule: transfer RNA, 69 nt
Filed under: Marmota marmota marmota (Alpine marmot)
Lineage: Eukaryota; Metazoa; Chordata; Mammalia; Rodentia; Sciuridae
Also listed under: 1 other name
Rfam family: tRNA
About the family: Transfer RNA (tRNA) molecules are approximately 80 nucleotides in length.
Source: Rfam by way of RNAcentral
GGGGCUAUAGCUCAGUGGUAGAGCACUUGCCUUGCUUGCAUGAGGCACUGGGUUUGAUCCUUAGCACCA